GCCCUGCUGGCGCAAUUGGCAGCGCGCAAGACUUCUAUACUUCUUCAGAGAAGGUUAUCUUGAGGUUGCGGGUUCGAAUCCCGCGUGGGGUG
This is a non-coding RNA of Kalaharituber pfeilii, 92 nucleotides long. The record is from the annotation of a GenBank genome assembly. Lineage: Eukaryota; Fungi; Ascomycota; Pezizomycetes; Pezizales; Pezizaceae.